Arachis ipaensis is the source of this 1058-nucleotide non-coding RNA. Lineage: Eukaryota; Viridiplantae; Streptophyta; Magnoliopsida; Fabales; Fabaceae. The record is from RefSeq and is a predicted model, not a curated record.
AACUCCUUGACCAAUUACACUAACAAACUUACACUACCACCCAUCCUUUCUCCAGAGAUCCACGUAUUGCUUUAUUAUGAGCCAUUCAUCCAUAGCUAAUGUAAACCACAAAUUUCUAAAUGAAAAUCAGAAUUUGAUUCAAAAAAUUAGAGAAAGAAAGAUCGAGAGAGAGCGAGACACAGAGGGAGAAAGGGGGAAAACAAAAACAGAAAGGGUCAAAGGGAGGAAUGAAGAUCAGAGCUCACGGAAGGAAGAAGGCUUCGAUCUCACUAUCCUCGUGCACCCGUCGCUGCUACUAUUAUCAAUCGAAGCUAUUGCGCGUAGAGAGAAGAAAAGAGCGACGAAUAGGGAGACGCGUAGCUGCUGUUGACAUUUACUGGAGUUGUCGCGCGUAGAAGAGAGGCUACCGCCGAUUCCGUCCAGGAUCAUCGUCGCCGCCGCUACCAUUAACGAAGUCGGCGCCAUCGAAGGGGCCACGGGUGGGAGGAACCCUAACUGUCAUCGUUACCAUCGAACAGGGCAGAUAGGGUAGGAGUGACGUGAUGAGAGAAGAGAGUCGUUCUGCCACUGAUGCACUUGCUAGUGCUGUUGAGGGAGUCCGCCGUCCGAGAAGCAUCAUCCGCGUUGUUGCUGUGAACUAUUUCAGUCCUGCCCUGGAAAAAUGCCCAAAAAUGUUUUUGUUUCGGUCUUGCCACCAUUAUCGCGAUUAUUGAUGACAUCGUUGCUGCAGAGGGUCUUCGAUAUCACUGUUGCAGUUGCUACCACGAAUUAGGAAUAAAGGGAAUUGCUGUGUUAAAUCCUGCGAUUACGACAUCGAGGUAGGGGGUUUAAAACGAUUUCAAUUUAAGAAUGCCUACAAGGUUUAUUGAAUAACUGCAAAUAGAUUUAAUAGCUGUGAGUAAUUGAUUGAUUAUGUAAUUAUUGAAUUGUGGCUGAAAUUGUGAUUGGAAUGGUUGAGAUUGUGAUUUGGAAUUGUUGCUUUGUGAUAUUGAUUGAUUAUGUGGAUUGGGAAUUGCUUGAUGACUGAUUAUUGAGAAUUUCUGAAUUUUAAUGGGUUA